Molecule: ribosomal RNA, 112 nt
Filed under: Paraflavisolibacter caeni
Lineage: Bacteria; Pseudomonadati; Bacteroidota; Chitinophagia; Chitinophagales; Chitinophagaceae
Source: RNAcentral
UAUGGUGGUUAUGCCGGGGGUGCCCACCUCUUCCCAUUCCGAACAGAGAAGUUAAGCCCCCCAUGGCCGAUGGUACUGCACCCAAAUGCGGGAGAGUAGGUAGCCGCCAUUC